UCCAGACUCCUACGGGAGGCAGCAGUGGGGAAUAUUGCACAAUGGGGGAAACCCUGAUGCAGCGACGCCGCGUGAGUGAAGAAGUAAUUCGUUAUGUAAAGCUCUAUCAGCAGGGAAGAGAAUGACGGUACCUGAGGAAUAAGCCACGGCUAACUACGUGCCAGCAGCCGCGGUAAUACGUAGGUGGCAAGCGUUAUCCGGAUUUACUGGGUGUAAAGGGCGUGUAGGCGGGAAAGCAAGUCAGAUGUGAAAACCAUGGGCUCAACCUGUGGCCUGCAUUUGAAACUGUUUUUUUUGAGUACUGGAGAGGCAGACGGAAUUCCUAGUGUGGCGGUGAAAUGCGUAGAUAUUAGGAGGAACACCAGUGGCGAAGGCGGCCUGCUGGACGAUGACUGACGUUGAGGCUCGAAAGCGUGGGGAGCAAACAGGAUUAGAUACCCGAGUA
RNAcentral lists this ribosomal RNA (445 nucleotides) under uncultured bacterium. RNAcentral's name for it is "bacterial SSU rRNA". It matches the Rfam family "Bacterial small subunit ribosomal RNA", at positions 330 to 792 of the family's 1533-position model. The record is from RNAcentral.